AGAAGACACGAUGUUUUUAUACAUGGUGGGUAUCCUAGCCGCAGUACGCAGUAAAAGAGUUUUCACCUAAGCGAGAUGAGGUGACGUCAUUGUUGCAGUUGACGUGAAGUGAGUGGGAUGAUUUAUCAUUGUUGUUUAUGUAGAGCGAACACAAAGUGACUUGGCUGUCGUCGUGGAGCGAGAAGGAAGGGACUUCAUUGAGCGUCAGACGAGGUGUAUAUUUGGAAGUGAUGUUGUCAAGGGAUGAGGAAUGCAGGUUGGGUAUUGCCAACACUUCCCCUCAAUCUGCAUUCAUUAUUCCUUCUCGCGAUGGCACAUUACCAUUUCGCUUCAACCAAUGCUCUUGAGCAGCUUGAGUAUGUAAUUGAUGAUUUACCACUGGUGAGACAUUCACGAUUUUGUUUCCAUUUUUUCUCUUUCAGUUCAUGUUACCGCCAUGUUAGCGAUUGAUCUUUUGUUGGUUGUGUUUAAUACUAGGUCUUGCUUCUUUCGGUCUGGCUUAUUGUUGUGAUUCUACAACGAGUUUGCAAGUUCUUCAAUCUCUUGCUCUCUUGGUUGUUGGUAUCCGUAUUGCAAAGGAACAAUGAAAGAGCUAUUGAUGUUUUUUUGGUGUUGCAAUCAACAGAGUUGCUGGGAGCUGGGAUUUUGUCAAAGACACUCUCCGAAGUUUUAUGUUGAGCGUUGUGGUUGUAGCAUAGGAAUCUUUAUGUCUUGGUUAGAAUGUAUGAAACAAGUUCAAGGAUUUUGGAGAGCAGAAUUCAAAAAAUUUAGAAUUUGGAACAAGGCAAAUGAGUACCUUCAAUUAAAAAGACAAGUUUAGACAAUCUAGGAUUGAAUUCUCCCUUUUUGUAUAUCUACCUUGUUACUAUUUUUAGUCUAUCCAAUUUUUAUUUUCAAUACAUUCAAUUGGUUCUAAAGCCUUUGUAAAAA
Molecule: long non-coding RNA, 930 nt
Filed under: Physcomitrium patens
Lineage: Eukaryota; Viridiplantae; Streptophyta; Bryopsida; Funariales; Funariaceae
Description: long non-coding RNA (PPAT_LNC008853)
Source: RNAcentral